UACGUAGGGGGCAAGCGUUAUCCGGAUUUACUGGGUGUAAAGGGAGCGUAGACGGCAUGGCAAGUCAGAUGUGAAAGCCCGGGGCUCAACCCCGGGACUGCAUUUGAAACUGUCAGGCUGGAGUGCGGGAGAGGUAAGCGGAAUUCCUAGUGUAGCGGUGAAAUGCGUAGAUAUUAGGAGGAACACCAGUGGCGAAGGCGGCUUACUGGACUGUAACUGACGUUGAGGCUCGAAAGCGUGGGGAGCAAACAGG
This 253-nucleotide ribosomal RNA is filed under the name uncultured bacterium. RNAcentral's name for it is "partial 16S ribosomal RNA". It matches the Rfam family "Bacterial small subunit ribosomal RNA", at positions 524 to 776 of the family's 1533-position model. The record is from RNAcentral.